GAACGGUCUGGAAAGUCCGACGGUACAGGGUGAUAGUCCCGUACACCAAAAUGCACAGGCUGUGAACUCGAAGAGUAGGGCGGGACACGUGGUAUCCUGUCUGAAUAUGGGGGGACCAUCCUCCAAGGCUAAAUACUCCUGACUGACCGAUAGUGAACCAGUACCGUGAGGGAAAGGCGAAAAGAACCCCGGCGAGGGGAGUGAAAAAGAACCUGAAACCGUGUACGUACAAGCAGUGGGAGCACCUUCGGGUGUGACUGCGUACCUUUUGUAUAAUGGGUCAGCGACUUAUAUUCUGUAGCAAGGUUAACCGUAUAGGGGAGCCGCAGGGAAACCGAGUCUUAACUGGGCGUUAAGUUGCAGGGUAUAGACCCGAAACCCGGUGAUCUAGCCAUGGGCAGGUUGAAGGUUGGGUAACACUAACUGGAGGACCGAACCGACUAAUGUUGAAAAAUUAGCGGAUGACUUGUGGCUGGGGGUGAAAGGCCAAUCAAACCGGGAGAUAGCUGGUUCUCCCCGAAAGCU
This 525-nucleotide ribosomal RNA is filed under the name Klebsiella aerogenes. RNAcentral describes it as "partial 23S ribosomal RNA". It matches the Rfam family "Bacterial large subunit ribosomal RNA", at positions 335 to 867 of the family's 2925-position model. RNAcentral also lists the same sequence under 1 other name. The record is from RNAcentral. Lineage: Bacteria; Pseudomonadati; Pseudomonadota; Gammaproteobacteria; Enterobacterales; Enterobacteriaceae.